This 406-nucleotide ribosomal RNA is filed under the name uncultured bacterium. Its description in RNAcentral is "partial 16S ribosomal RNA". It matches the Rfam family "Bacterial small subunit ribosomal RNA", at positions 30 to 526 of the family's 1533-position model. The record is from RNAcentral.
AUUGAACGCUGGCGGCAGGCCUAACACAUGCAAGUCGAACGAGUGGCGGACGGGUGAGUAAUGUCUGGGAAACUGCCUGAUGGAGGGGGAUAACUACUGGAAACGGUAGCUAAUACCGCAUACCAACAGGUGUGCCCAGAUGGGAUUAGCUUGUUGGGGGGGUAACGGAUCCACCAGGCGACGAGCCCUAGCUGGUCUGAGAGGAUGACCAGCCACACUGGAACGGAGAAACGGUCCAGACUCCUACGGGAGGAAGCAGUGGGGAAUAUUGCACAAUGGGCGCAAUCCUGAUGCAGCCAUGCCGCGUGUAUGAAGAAGGCCUUCGGGUUGUAAAGUACUUUCAGCGGGGAGGCGUUACCCGCAGAAGAAGCACCGGCUAACUCCGUGCCAGCCGCCGCGGUAAUAC